GACGAACGCGGGCGGCGUGCCUAAUACAUGCAAGUAGAACGCUGAAGAGAGGAGCUUGCUCUUCUAGGAUGAGUUGCGAACGGGUGAGUAACGCGUAGGUAACCUGCCUUGUAGCGGGGGAUAACUAUAGGAAACGAUAGCUAAUACCGCAUAACAAUGGGUGACACAUGUCAUUUAUUUGAAAGGGGCAACUGCUCCACUACAAGAUGGACCUGCGUUGUAUUAGCUAGUAGGUGAGGUAACGGCUCACCUAGGCGACGAUACAUAGCCGACCUGAGAGGGUGAUCGGCCACACUGGGACUGAGACACGGCCCAGACUCCUACGGGAGGCAGCAGUAGGGAAUCUUCGGCAAUGGGGGCAACCCUGACCGAGCAACGCCGCGUGAGUGAAGAAGGUUUUCGGAUCGUAAAGCUCCGUUGUAAGUCAAGAACGAGUGUGAGAGUGGAAAGUUCACACUGCGACGGUAGCUUACCAGAAAGGGACGGCUAACUACGUGCCAGCAGCCGCGGUAAUACGUAGGUCCCGAGCGUUGUCCGGAUUUAUUGGGCGUAAAGCGAGCGCAGGCGGUUUGAUAAGUCUGAAGUUAAAGGCUGUGGCUCAACCAUAGUUCGCUUUGGAAACUGUCAAACUUGAGUGCAGAAGGGGAGAGUGGAAUUCCAUGUGUAGCGGUGAAAUGCGUAGAUAUAUGGAGGAACACCGGUGGCGAAAGCGGCUCUCUGGUCUGUAACUGACGCUGAGGCUCGAAAGCGUGGGGAGCGAACAGG
RNAcentral lists this ribosomal RNA (765 nucleotides) under uncultured Streptococcus sp. Its description in RNAcentral is "bacterial SSU rRNA". It matches the Rfam family "Bacterial small subunit ribosomal RNA", at positions 28 to 776 of the family's 1533-position model. The record is from RNAcentral. Lineage: Bacteria; Bacillati; Bacillota; Bacilli; Lactobacillales; Streptococcaceae.